This 460-nucleotide ribosomal RNA is filed under the name uncultured bacterium. Its description in RNAcentral is "partial 16S ribosomal RNA". It matches the Rfam family "Bacterial small subunit ribosomal RNA", at positions 338 to 795 of the family's 1533-position model. The record is from RNAcentral.
CCUACGGGUGACAGCAGUGAGGAAUAUUGGUCAAUGGCCGGAAGGCUGAACCAGCCAUGCCGCGUGAAGGUCAGUGCCCUAUGGGCGUUAAACUUCUUUUGUGCGGGAGCAAUAAUGGUCACGUGUGGCCAGACGAGAGUACCGUACGAAUAAGCAUCGGCUAACUCCGUGCCAGCAGCCGCGGUAAUACGGGGGAUGCAAGCGUUAUCCGGAUUUAUUGGGUUUAAAGGGUGCGUAGGCUGUGAGGUAAGUCAGCGGUGAAAUGCCCCCGCUCAACGGGGUGAAGUGCCAUUGAUACUGCCUGGCUGGAAUGCGGAUGCCGUGGGAGGAAUGUGUGGGGUAGCGGUGAAAUGCAUAGAUAUCACACAGAACACCGAUUGCGAAGGCAUCUCACGAAUCCGCGAUUGACGCUGAUGCACGAAAGCGUGGGUAUCAAACAGGAUUAGAUACCCGAGUAGUC